This 287-nucleotide unclassified non-coding RNA is filed under the name fungal sp. Its description in RNAcentral is "partial internal transcribed spacer region". The stretch from base 1 to 46 matches the Rfam family "Eukaryotic small subunit ribosomal RNA", at positions 1786 to 1831 of the family's 1831-position model. The record is from RNAcentral. Lineage: Eukaryota; Fungi.
AAGUCGUAACAAGGUCUCCGUAGGUGAACCUGCGGAGGGAUCAUCAUUGAAAACAUAAUUUGACAAGAGGUUUUUGUUUUGGGACGAGGGAGGGGAUUGUGGAAACUCUGCAUCUCCGAGCUUUGACUGGGAUGGGGCCUCUUGACAAACAACCAAUCUUCAUGACUAUGAAACAUUGACACAGUGAUUUGGCUGGGGGUGGAUAAAAGUUCUUGUCUGACAAGUAGCUUGCUGAUUUGGAGCACAACAACUAAUACAACUUUCAACAACGGAUCUCUUGGCUCUCA